UGGGGGAAGAGACGUUGUUGUGAAGUUGCUGAUUGCAGAUGGCUCUGUGUGUUGCAGCUCUAACAGAGAGCCUCUGUUUUAAGGCUGUUGUGUCGCUCCGCUUUGUAGCCUGAGUUCCAGUCUGGUUUUGUGCUGUCAUCAACUCCUUGUCACGAACUCAAUGUCACGUUUGUCUCGUCCACAACAGCGAUGUAGUUGGCAUGGUAGCACAAACAGAUCUGGGACCAGGCUAUCUAUUUUGUGAGUAGAAGUUGUUAUCUCCCCCCCCCCCCCUUGGUUGCUAAGGAGAAUGGUUCUACAUCCUCUUUGGUGUUCAACAUUCCUCUUCCUGCAUCUUGGAGGCUGAAGGAUAUACAAACUGUGUACUGUUUUUUUUUUCCUUUUCAAUAUUCUUCCCAAUAUUAAGGUUUAUUGUGGAUAAAAAUAAUAAUAAUAAUGUCAACAGACUCCGGAUCUCUACCAGACCAGUGAAGUGGUGUGUUUUACUGCUCGUUGUUAAACAGUUGAUUGUUUAUAACUUUUCAGUAUUAUCUUGUUAUUCCAUCAGACAGCUGUCAAUCAGACAACAGUAAUAAUGACUUGGAGUUGGAUGGUGACCAAGCACUUUGCUGGGAGUUCUGAAGCACCAGGGACUGUGUACAUAAAGCAGGUCUCAGAAUAGGGCUGCCGGUCUAGGAUCAGGUGCCCUCUCUUAUUCAUUAUAAUCUAAAAGGCCAAACGGAUCCUAAAUCAGCACUCUUACUCUGACAUUCUUUAUGAAUAUGGUUCCAGAAAUCCCAUUGGUGGGGGGUCAAAAUACUUUAAACCCAACAUCCUACUGUAUUGAAGACAGACUAUGCAUUUUGUUACCAUGACGAUAUAUAUCUCAUGUACAUUUGUAAACAGAGGAAUGUAGAAGGAGUAGAACGGGCCUCCCUAUUCAUGUCAACGACGUCAUAAUGGGCAGACAGGCAGCCGUUCUAGUUCUAUGUUUAGUAGUGGAAUCCUGAGGCGUGUUGGGAGGGAUCAGAGAGGUGGAAACAGAAAUAGAAUGACUAGAACAGUCUCGGAACCUUUAACCCUGGUAAUUUGACUCAUGGGUACUCUCACAUUGGCCGCCAGUCCACCCAUCAUGCCAUCAUAAUGGACCUGUUCCAUGGAUUGUUUUUGUAUGAGCGGAACACGUUCAUGUUCUCGUGUUCUUAAUAAGUGUUCUGAUGACCUCUCUCUCUCUCUCUCUCUGUGAGGUAAUUAUUGACCCAUAAUGGGUUUCUGAUUGGAGAUUGUUUAUGAGAAGCGUUCCUCCUGGACUGGGCCUCUAUAGAUAAAGAUCUGUUCUGUUUUGACCACUGAACAUCAUCUGCUUCAGUCAUGUGUUUUUAUGUUAUUCUUUUGAUCAGGAUGGUUUCUGAUUGGGAUUUUACUGUGUUGUUGUCGUUGUUGUCUUUGUCGUUGUUGUCUUUGUCGUUGUUGUCUUUGUUGUUGUUGUCUUUGUCUUUGUCAUUGUUGUUGUUGGAUGUAUUCUCCAGUAUCUGGACUAUAGAAAGACAGCAGUAUCUCAAGGGAUUUGAACGCUGAAUAUAUUGCCUUUUGUCUCACCACAGUGGUUGCUAUUCUCUGCUUUUUUAAUAAAGCCUAAUAAUGCCUUA
Non-coding RNA from Oncorhynchus mykiss (rainbow trout), 1628 nucleotides. NCBI's taxonomy places the organism in Eukaryota, Metazoa, Chordata, Actinopteri, Salmoniformes, Salmonidae. The record is from RefSeq and is a predicted model, not a curated record.